Long non-coding RNA from Mus musculus (house mouse), 4134 nucleotides. RefSeq annotates it as predicted gene, 32317. The transcript is spliced from 4 exons. The record is from RefSeq and is a predicted model, not a curated record. NCBI's taxonomy places the organism in Eukaryota, Metazoa, Chordata, Mammalia, Rodentia, Muridae.
GACCCUGCAGGGAGGGAGAGAGGGAGAGAGGCUGUGAGUCCACUAUGCUGGAACAAGGAGGUGGGCGCCAUGGGAAUCCACUCAAAGGAGACUUUCUGAAUGGCAGUUUCUCAAACUUUUGAAGCAAGCCCCAGUGCUGUUGUGUGGUGUACACUGGGCACAAAAACACAUGGCUGUAACUCAGAAACACCAUUUUAGAAAGCACUGCGUGGUGACUGUGAAAGCUCACCGGGCCUUCCACUGCUUUCUCCUCCCCUUUAAUUGUUGUUUUUCUCUUCUAAAAAUUAAAACCAUGCUGGGAAGGCUCAUUAAUUGAUCGUACUGCCCACUAAUGCGAGGUGAUCUACAGUUUGGAAAAACACAAAUCGUUUCUAGAGUAUGUUUCCAGAAAUCUCCAAGUUAAUGGAGAUUACUUAACCAAGUGGAAUCGGGCUGGAUUGCUUUGUUUUACAAACAAUACAAACAAUGAGGUCUUCUGUUUAAGUGCCUCAGAGCAUAGGGGUAAAGCAGGCACAAAGUGGGGGGGGGUGUUCCCUGGAGUCCAGCACAAUUGAGCUUUGCUUCAUAGUGGUAAACACUCAUCAUCAUCAUCAUCGUCAUCACCAUCAUCAUCAGGCACAGCAGCAGCAGCAGCAGCAGCAGCAUCUGCAUCCCAGCUCUCUCUCUGUACCAGGCACUGCUCACGUAAUUAAACCUACUUCAUCCUCACUGGAGCUCCACAAGGUUAGGUACUGUUAUUUCCGUUUACUCCUGAGAAAACCACGGCUGCUAGAAGCUAGCAAAUUUGCAAGCAAGAUUCAACAUGCAAAAUUCAAAACGAGAUCUCCCCUGACUCGAGUCUGUGCUCUUCACGAGCAAGCUUGGCGGGGUUGACAGACCACUGCUGUCCAUGAACAAAAGCUACAAGCUGCUCCAGUGACCGACACACUUCCCUGAGCUGCCUCGGAAGUGACAGAACUGAGCGAGAGAGGAAUGCAGGACUCAGGUAGAGUGGACACACCCAGUGCCACUGAGCCAGAGGGCAUGGCUUCAGGGCCAGAGUCAGAUCCUAGAACAAUGAGCCUCAGAAUGGAGCAGUGGCAGACAGAUAGAAGGGCGGAUAUCCUAGUGGCCAGCUGGACUAUAGCUAACAGUCAGAGGCCCCUAGUCCAUGGCUAGGAUUCUCUCUCUAUCUCAUGAGGAAGCCAAAGGAAAACCCACAUGAAUGAUCAAGACUGUCUUCCCUAGUUAGCGUCAACUGUCAACUUGACACAGCCCAGAAUUAUCUGAGGGAGUCUCAAUUGAAGCAUUCUCUAUAACUGCACUCUGGGGGAACAGUUUCUUGAUGGCCAAUUUGUGUAGAGGGCAGCAAUUCACUGUGGGGUUUGUCAACUCAAGGCAGGGGGUCCUAGACUAUGUAAGAAAGCUAGCUGAGCGGAGGUUAGGGAGCAUUUAGCAGUGUUCCUCUGUGGUUUCUGCUUCAAGCUCCUGCCUUGAGUUUCUGUUCCAACUUCCGUCAGUGCUAAAUAGUGUUUUGGAAGAGUAAGGUGAAAUAAACCCUGUCCCCCUCAAGUUGCUUUUUGUCACAACAGGAGAGUAAAGUAGAGUACCAUCCAUGUAGCCUCCAGUCAAAAACAGUAGACACAACAAUCCUUUCUGUUACAUCUACACAAUAGUCAAGACUUCCCUGGACUGGAUCCUUGAACUCCUUGUGCAGAGCGGUCACUGCUGUUUUUUCAUCUUUUGUAUUCCUUCGUCCUUGCAUCAGCCCUGGAAAUCAACUGCUCCUAACCCAUUUUAUGGAUGAAGAACUGAGGCUUAGGGCGUGAAAUCCUGGCCUGAGGAUACACAGUCAGUGACGGGGAGAUCUGUGAACCACAGCUAGCCUGACUUCCAGUUGACUUGAUAUCGGAGUUUGAUGAGAAGGGGGGUUGCCACAAGAGUCCUGGAUGAAACUAAGCUGAAGGCAGAUCCCGAACACCAACAGGACCCCGAGUUUCAUUGGCUGCUGCUCAAGUGCCCUUUGGAGAUUCUGUUCCACUGACCACACCCACGGGUGGCCUCGGAUGCCCAGGCUGAGAGGAGGCAGAGACUCACUUGCAAGAGGUCCAUUUUAAUUACAGCGGCAAAGCAGAUGGGCAAUGCCAUAAGUCAGCAGAUCGAUGGGUGAAGACUAGGAAGUUCUAUAGACAGCAGGAAAAAACGAAGGCGGCUCAGAUCUCUCUGGGUACCUCAUAGAUGUCCUGAUGCGCACCAGCACCAUUCCACAGGCAACGCUCACAAGAACCUAGCGAAGAGCUAUUACAGUGAACCCUGCUCUUCAGACACAGAGAUGGAGGCACGGAAGGAUCCAGCCACCCAAGGAAGAGUCUGGACCUUUAUGGCCUGGAUUCAGACUCCAUAGCCCAUCUGCUUUCCUAGGACGCUCGAGGCUCUCCAAGUGUGUCACCUGGACUGGUAGCAUCUGGGAACUUACUGAAUCUCAGGAUCUACACAAAACACCACCGAUUUGGGGGUGGAGCCCUGAAUGCCAUGCAUUUACCAAUCCUGGAAGGGUCUAUGGCUCACACUCAAAUUUGAAGCUUGCUCUGUGGCUGAGGCUAGCAUGGUGGCCUACAUCUAGUCUUGGACAGGAGGCAGUGCAGGAGUCUUAUGCAUGGCCGGAAACCCAGAGUCAGAGUACAGGGGUAAGAAUCCAGCGGCUUCUCCUAAGAGAGAGCUAUAGAGGAAGUGCCCCAGAACUUUCUGGGAAAGCUGAACCUUCCCUGUAACUUAGGAACAUAGCAGCUGAGUGGCUUCCCAGCCAGGUCGACUGUGUGAAUCACCAGAUUUUACAGAUAGGAAGCAGUUUGUCCCAGGGCCAGGGGGAGGCUGCCACAUGCUCUCCACUGAUGAGAAGGAGGGUGACUGGCGCGAAGCUUAUGUAGGGAUGUCCCUGGAAGUAGGUGGGUAGAGAAGGAGCUUGGCAGAUCCAGGCGCUGUUGGGCAAGGGUUAUGUGGCCAGCCACGAGGAGUCUGUGUUGCUCUAUGGAAGGACUGUGCAGUCUAGAAGCACCUGGUUCCACAGCUUCAUCCCAAUCUGUCUUGUCCCACAUAUAGUUAGAGAUGGACAGACAUCCAGGGGAAGCCACUCCAGCUUCAACAGGAAGUAGGCCUGCAGCUCCCUAUUGGAACCCCUUCUGCUCAUCCACAGAUGUAUCACGCUAUAUCUCAGGAGCAGCUCUCUCCCCCUGCCUGGUCUCCCAGAAGCCCCAGUUUUUCACUACUCUGUCACCAUCUGUUCACUUGUCCUUGUCCCUCACUGACCUGCAGGUGCUGCAGGGGAUAGCUGAAAUCUCCUGUCUUUUCUCUAAAGCCUCCAGACUCCCCCUACAGCUUCUGGACACAGUCUUGCCUGAGACUUGGCAAAGGUCAAACAGUUGGUGGAUGAAUACAUGAAUGAAUGAAUGAAUGAAUGAAUGAACAAAUGAAUAAACAAAUAAUGCAUAAGUGAACCAACUUAGUGAAUUCUGGACAAGAAUAACUGUAUGCCCACCUUAGCACUGUAUAUUUAUUAAUCAUUGAUCAGAAAGAACUAGUAUAGGCACUGGGAUCAUUUUGGAAGAGGCAGAAGAAUAUGGGAGUUGGAGGAUGUAGACAAGAGUUGUGAAAUAUUGCUUUGUGGCCAUGGAUAAGGAAAUCAACCUCCAUUAUUGGUAGUUGCCUAUACAAGACCCAUAUAGAUCAAACCAGCCAAAAUUCUGGUGUAUGAGGAAUGUGAUCUCUAGGCCCAAACUCAAAUUAAGGAGCCAUUAGCAGAAGGUGUUUGGUGAGAUUUUAGAGACAUCACUGGUAGGUUUCCAAAAAUAUAGUGGAUGGUUUUGCACCCAUGCCUGUAGGAGAAGUACUAAUUGAACCUGGUGUGUUAUUUUAAAAAGUUAUAAAAAUGAGAGGAGGUAUAUUAGUGGGCAUGAGGAUGAGAAAGGGAGAAUAUUGGGAGUAGAUAUGAUCACAUUUCGUGAGUACAUGUAUUACAUUCUAAAAACAAAAUAUCCAUUAAAAACCUCAAUCAAUAAAUCAAUCAACAAAAUUUAAAAAAAGAACUCUUAUAAAAGCCAAUCUUUGUUCACCAAUACCAACAUUUAGUUAACAUGUACUUUUUAACCCCACCCUCAU